GAUGAACGCUGGCGGCGUGCCUAAUACAUGCAAGUCGAGCGAACAGACGAGGAGCUUGCUCCUCUGACGUUAGCGGCGGACGGGUGAGUAACACGUGGAUAACCUACCUAUAAGACUGGGAUAACUUCGGGAAACCGGAGCUAAUACCGGAUAAUAUAUUGUACCGCAUGGUUCAAUAGUGAAAGACGGUUUUGCUGUCACUUAUAGAUGGAUCCGCGCCGCAUUAGCUAGUUGGUAAGGUAACGGCUUACCAAGGCAACGAUGCGUAGCCGACCUGAGAGGGUGAUCGGCCACACUGGAACUGAGACACGGUCCAGACUCCUACGGGAGGCAGCAGUAGGGAAUCUUCCGCAAUGGGCGAAAGCUUGACGGAGCAACGCCGCGUGAGUGAUGAAGGUCUUCGGAUCGUAAAACUCUGUUAUUAGGGAAGAACAAAUGUGUAAGUAACUAGGCACGUCUUGACGGUACCUAAUCAGAAAGCCACGGCUAACUACGUG
This 497-nucleotide ribosomal RNA is filed under the name uncultured bacterium. RNAcentral's name for it is "partial 16S ribosomal RNA". It matches the Rfam family "Bacterial small subunit ribosomal RNA", at positions 28 to 507 of the family's 1533-position model. The record is from RNAcentral.